Long non-coding RNA from Prinia subflava (tawny-flanked prinia), 506 nucleotides. RefSeq lists it as uncharacterized. The record is from RefSeq and is a predicted model, not a curated record. The transcript is spliced from 4 exons. NCBI's taxonomy places the organism in Eukaryota, Metazoa, Chordata, Aves, Passeriformes, Cisticolidae.
UUAAGGAGGUAAAAAUUAAAAAAAGGGCUACCCAAUGUGAUGUUUUUUAGUGCUUACUGAUCUGAUGUACGGGGUGGGAAGGAGUUCACAGGCCCAGGAGUAAAGGCUAACAUCACAUUAUUAUCCUCUGAAAGACUAGUGCCAUUACAGAUCAGCUUCCUUAACACCUCUCAUCAGGUGCCAGGGAGACUGCACAUCACAGACUGAUGUGUCAUUGCUUGGUCAAGCCCUUGCUCUACCUCCCGCGUUUUUCAAAUGCCAAGCACACCGGCAUGCUUCACUUCAGUGCUGCAGAAUGUGGACUUCAUUCCACAGUCAUACUCUGAAGGAAAAAGAGCUACAAAGAAUAAUGACCCAUGAAUUCUGGAGAGGAACGCAAAGCUGAUCGCUUUGAACUGCUGAAAUCUGGUGACUUGCAAUCAAUAGUCUGUGAAACUGUGUCAGCAGUGUGAAGAUUCAGAUUUUCUGCCUCUAAUAGCAGACUGAUGUGCUUGGACCACUGAGGU